GGGUCGGCUCACCUAUUGGCGUGGGUAACUGUCUGUAAAACAGCCGCGUUCGCGUUGCUGGUUCAAUUCCAGCCCGGCCUACCA
Molecule: transfer RNA, 84 nt
Filed under: Nostoc sp. CENA543
Lineage: Bacteria; Bacillati; Cyanobacteriota; Cyanophyceae; Nostocales; Nostocaceae
Description: tRNA-Tyr
Rfam family: tRNA
About the family: Transfer RNA (tRNA) molecules are approximately 80 nucleotides in length. Their secondary structure includes four short double-helical elements and three loops (D, anti-codon, and T loops). Further hydrogen bonds mediate the characteristic L-shaped molecular structure. tRNAs have two regions of fundamental functional importance: the anti-codon, which is responsible for specific mRNA codon recognition, and the 3' end, to which the tRNAs corresponding amino acid is attached (by aminoacyl-tRNA synthetases). tRNAs cope with the degeneracy of the genetic code in two manners: having more than one tRNA (with a specific anti-codon) for a particular amino acid; and 'wobble' base-pairing, i.e. permitting non-standard base-pairing at the 3rd anti-codon position.
Source: RNAcentral